GAUGAACGCUGGCGGCGUGCCUAAUACAUGCAAGUCGAGCGAACAGACGAGGAGCUUGCUCCUCUGACGUUAGCGGCGGACGGGUGAGUAACACGUGGAAACCUACCUAUAAGACUGGGAUAACUUCGGGAAACCGGAGCUAAUACCGGAUAAUACAUUUAACCGCAUGGUUCAAUUGUGAAAGACGGGUUUGCUGGCACUUAUAGAUGGAUCCGCGCCGUAUUUGUUAGUUGGUAAGGUAACGGCUUACCAAGGCGACGAUGCGUAGCCGACCGGAGAGGGGGAUCGGCCACACUGGAACUGAGACACGGUCCAGACUCCUACGGGAGGCAGCAGUAGGGAAUCUUCCGCAAUGGGCGAAAGCCUGACGGAGCAACGCCGCGUGAGUGAUGAAGGUCUUCGGAUCGUAAAACUCUGUUAUGAGGGAAGAACAAAUGUGUAAGUAACUAUGCACGUCUUGACGGUACCUAAUCAGAAAGCCACGGCUAACUACGUG
Molecule: ribosomal RNA, 496 nt
Filed under: uncultured bacterium
Lineage: Bacteria
Description: partial 16S ribosomal RNA
Rfam family: Bacterial small subunit ribosomal RNA
Source: RNAcentral